This is a long non-coding RNA of Larimichthys crocea (large yellow croaker), 167 nucleotides long. RefSeq lists it as uncharacterized. The record is from RefSeq and is a predicted model, not a curated record. The transcript has 3 exons. Lineage: Eukaryota; Metazoa; Chordata; Actinopteri; Sciaenidae.
UAGCAAAUCCAGUUCAAUAUAAGGAGUCCUUGAGUAAACAGCAGUGUGUGAUAGGAGACCUGUGAGAUCCAGCUGGUGGUGGUGAAUACGCUUGACAGAAAGGGGGUCAAACAAACAAGCCGGCACCAUGAGUACCGACGCAGAGAUGGCCGUUUAUGGCAAAGCUG